UCUGAGGAGAAUAGAAGGUUUGAUAUGCUGACCAGAGCAAACCCAUAGGGAAGUUUGCUGCCUCCCUGGGGCCCAGCAUUGGUGUGGCUUCACCUUGAGUAUUGUGUGCACCUCUGGGCUCCACAAUGUAAGAAGAAUGUUAAGGUCCUUGGGAGCAUAACCAUGGAACCAUAAACAAUGCUUGUGAAAAGGCUGAAAGCCACAUCUCAUGUGGAGUGCAUGAGGACACUGGGUUUGUCUAGCCUGGAGAAAAGAAGGAUGAGAGACAACCUCACUGGUUUUUACAACUUCAUGAGGAGGGGAAAUGGAAGAGGAAACGUCAGUCCUCACUGGUCACCAAUGGAAGGAGGCACAAAACAGCAGAAAGUUGUGCCAGAGGGAUUCCAACUGAACAUGAGGAAAACCACCUUCACUGAGAAGGUGGUCAAACACAAACAGCUUCCCAAGGGUUGAUGUCCCAUGCCUGUUAGUGCUCAAAAGGAAUUUGGACAAUGCUUUCAGUGGCACGCUUUCCCUCCAACAAAACUGGUCUAUUCCAUGCACUGUUCAGAUAAAUGAAAUUUCAGUAAAACAUUUUAAAAUCUUCAGCUCUUGGA
Phasianus colchicus (ring-necked pheasant) is the source of this 596-nucleotide long non-coding RNA. RefSeq lists it as uncharacterized. The record is from RefSeq and is a predicted model, not a curated record. Lineage: Eukaryota; Metazoa; Chordata; Aves; Galliformes; Phasianidae.